Molecule: ribosomal RNA, 252 nt
Filed under: uncultured bacterium
Lineage: Bacteria
Description: partial 16S ribosomal RNA
Rfam family: Bacterial small subunit ribosomal RNA
Source: RNAcentral
UACGGGGGGGCAAGCGUUGUUCGGAAUUACUGGGCGUAAAGGGCUCGUAGGCGGCCAACUAAGUCGGAUGUGAAAUCCCCAGGCUUAACCUGGGAACUGCAUCCGAUACUGGAUGGCUUGAAUCCGGGAGAGGGAUGCAGAAUUCCAGGUGUAGCGGUGAAAUGCGUAGAUAUUAGGAAGAACACCAGUGGCGAAGGCGGCUCACUGGUCCGGUACUGACGCUGAGGCGCGAAAGCGUGGGGAGCAAACAGG